CAGUGGUCCAUGCAAUUGCAGCACCUACACUUGCUAUGCCUGGAUGUUUGGAUUUCUUUGAAGUAGAGUGGGAAUUUACACAGAUCUCAAGGGCAUCCAUAUUUGGGAGUUAAAGGUAUUUGCUGUUUCCUCUUAUUUUGGUGACAUGGCAAGGUAUGAAGUCCACGUGGAUGGAAAGGAGAAUAUGAGUGAUGUGAGACCCUCCUAUGUGAAACAACGCUGAUUUUCUAGAUGUUGGGGAAUUAAUGGCUUGAAGUUACUUGUAAAGCUGGAAUAAACAGAAGUGGCACAGUUGUUGAGAUGAUAUAAAUAAGAUGUUAGACAUAUGCUUAAAGUUAUUUAAAUGUUAUUUUCUACAAUGUAAGUGUUGGGCAUCUUAACUGAGCUGGUUCUAAUUUCUUUGAUUUUUAUGUCCAUGAAAAAUGCUAAUCUCUCGUCACAGCUACACGAUUCUAAAACUGCCCUUCCAAAGAACCGUGACAUUCUCAGAUCUACAUUGUAGCUUUUGUGUUCCCAGUGACUUGGUUGUUAUUUCUCACUUUCCACAGGAAUACGCAGUAUAAAUGUUGAGUCCUUGCUAUUUGCAGCUUGUUUUUCCUAGCUGGUACCAUUGAAUAACACUCCAACGCUCCUACUGAGGCAACAAAUUACCCUGAAAGGUUAUAUGUCAACCAUCUGUGUCCCAGAGUGACACGGCCUGAACCACUCAGGCCCUUUUCAUUUCCCGAUGCCUAAACAUGCAUCACAGAGGAGCUUGAGGUAUGGUCUGAGAUUUCCCCAGAGAAUUUCACUCUAGAAACCAGCUCAGGUACUUACAGAAUAACUGUGUGGUAUCUUAGAGCCACUAGAUCUACAGUUCAGUUUAAGGUGGAGGCUACCCAGGCCAUACUUGCAUGUAAACUUGGAGCAAGUUCCUUAUCUGGGCCUCUUCAGUUUCUGAUCUAUAAAAUUUUGAUAAUAACU
Molecule: long non-coding RNA, 963 nt
Organism: Neofelis nebulosa (Clouded leopard)
Lineage: Eukaryota; Metazoa; Chordata; Mammalia; Carnivora; Felidae
Exons: 3
Source: RefSeq, a predicted model, not a curated record